GCUGUUUUCAACGGAACGAUUGUCAUUAGUAGUGGUAGACUGACGUUCUACCCAAAUACUAAAAGGCCAGUUGAUGUUACGAAAUUAUGACUCCUGAGUGAUUAUAAUUUAGUACCACGACUCUGACGGGGUUGCUCCUGCCUAGAGUUGUCGGUUUAACUGAUGGUCUUCCAACUAAUGAACUUUUUUAACUAAUAUAUAUGAAGCAAAAUUUAAACUUAAGAGAUAAGAAAACGAUUCGUGUGGAUGGAGUUUGAAUGGGUUGUGGGUGUGACCAGUCAUUUGUUGCUGUUUGUCUCGCUGUAAAGCUGGCCGUGACCGUGGCAACGAACAUCGACGAGCUGUGUUGGCUCCUCUGCCCUGCCCGUGUGCAAACAUGUUUGGCUAUUUUUUUCGCCAAAAAUUUACAUAAAAAUCGCAUUACACUUAACAUCCACUUUGCUAAACGAAGCGCAUGAAAGCGGGCGCCACGUGGUUUCGGCUCUCGACUGUGCUUUUGUAA
Long non-coding RNA from Drosophila simulans, 502 nucleotides. RefSeq lists it as uncharacterized. NCBI's taxonomy places the organism in Eukaryota, Metazoa, Arthropoda, Insecta, Diptera, Drosophilidae. The record is from RefSeq and is a predicted model, not a curated record. The transcript has 2 exons.